AUGUUGAAUGAUGUUAGUUACAGGAAAUUGAAGCGACGAGGCUUGAAGAACCAUGAGGAAAUUGUAGAAGAUGAUGAAGAAUCGAUGAAGCGGUUUGUUUUGGAGCAAUUUGAAAGCAUGGAUAAUUCAAAGAUGGGUAUUCUGAUGAGACAAGGGUGCAAUAUGCUUCGAGCUUUGGUCAUGAAGGAUGAAGAUUUAAUCAAGAGGGUAAAAGUCAGAAGCAUGAGAACUAUGGAUUUUAGUGUGGAAGAAACAUGA
This is a non-coding RNA of Vicia faba (fava bean), 258 nucleotides long. Lineage: Eukaryota; Viridiplantae; Streptophyta; Magnoliopsida; Fabales; Fabaceae. The record is from the annotation of a GenBank genome assembly.